ACCCUGAGGCGGAGCUCACAGGGAUCGGAAGGCCCCAGGCCUGAGGGCCCAGGGGACCCUGGGUGAGUGAGGGGCAGGUGAGGCAGGCGGUCCUCUGUCCAGCCUGUCUGUUGACAGAGACACAGCCCCUGCCCCCAGGGCCCCACUCCAGCGCUCAGGGUGGGAGUCAGGCCUGGACAUGACUUCAACUGUCAAGCCUCUGCUUCCCCACCUGGGGAGAAGGAGAAGGAGAAGGACUGGAGCCUCCAAGGCCUGUAAUUAGGGCGAGAUGAGAUCAUGGGACAGAGCAUCCCUGUCCCUGGGCUCGUCUGACCUUUCUGGAGGCCUGCAGAAUUCAGAGCCUGGGGAGGCGGGCCCGGUGGGUGGGACUGGCCACGGAAGGGCAGAGGGCAGAGGGCAUUCCCCAGCCUUGCACCAGCUUCUGCCCCAGGACCCACGGUGCGCCUCUGUCCGGUGGGGAGAGGGCCCGUUGAUGCAGACUCCCAGGGGCGUCGCUAGCCUCUGCCCAGCCCCAGGAAAUCUCAGGCCAGCCCCAGCACAGGAGUGGCUUCUGGCCACAGGCCAGUGCCGGAUGAGGGCCGUGAGUCCCCAGGAGAGCCAGCCAAGAAAGGUACUUGCUGACUCUUGGACACUCUCCAACCUGGAGACGCAGGCACAUGAGAGCCACUCCUGGAUGGGGACUCAGCGAUUCUUGGAAUGCUCCGAGUCCUUGCUCAGCUGACUCUGCACCCCAGGCACACCCCCAUCCAGAUCUCGUUCUGACCUGAUUUCCUGUCCCACCCCAGAGACUUCCUGUAGCCAGGAUAGCACACUCGGCCCAUCUGAUGACGGACAUUAUUUCUGGAAGCUACGUCCACCUGUCAGGUCCUCCCUUCCUGGGACCUGGGUCUCUUUUUGGAGCUGCAGGUGCAUCUGUGCCUACCCCCAGCUCUGGGUAACCUGAUGCCCGAGGACACGGAACAUGCUGGAGCUUCCACCUGUGGCCAGCCGCCUCUGACCCAUUGGCCAGAGUCCCUGUGUCACCGGCACCUGACUCUGGGGGAGCAUGCGCCCCCUCAUGCUCCGGCAGAGCAAGGAUGCCCUGCUCCCCGCCCGGGCUGGCACAGAGCAAGCCCCCGCCUCUUGUCAGGAAGCAGAGCUCAGAGACUGGAUGGGCAGACCUUGAGUGAGCUCUGCUGGGAGCAGGAAGGCAGGCGUGGGCGUCUCUCAGAGAGCAGUCUCCCUGCCUGACGCGUGAUGCGGAGGUGAAAACCAGGACAGCCCCGAGAGCGGUGGGUGGGCCCCUGUGAGCCCAGGGGGGCCCUCUGGGGCCCCCAGAGACCCUGGGCAGCAGCGGGGACUGCAGUUUCACUUCCCCGGACAGGCACCCAGAGUGAUCUUUAUUGCUUUCAUUUUGAAACCUUUUUCCUUCUGUUUCCUUUCUGGGAUGGCCUGAGAUGACCUCGGACACUGCUACAGAAUGGAGUUAGCAAAAGCAUGCCCGGCCACCGACCCACUCAGCCACGGUCCACCCACCCCCCCAGCCCUCCAGCCACACACCUGUCGGUCUGUCGUCGGUCCAACCGCCUCCCUACGCACCGACCCGCCCGCCGGUGCCCCCACUCACACACCCAGCCGUCUGUCCAGACACCUGCUUCAGCUAGUUCUACCUGAUUUGCUGUGGGAGUGGCUGGGACAUGCCUCCCGGGAACACACCAGUGUCAGGAGACUGCCUCCCGGGCCCGGUUGCAGAGCGGCUGGCCGGGGCUCGGCGCGAGCGAGUCGGUGCGGCCGGAUCCUUGAACAACACGGGCUUGAACUGGCGGGUCCGCGUAGACGCCGGUGUCUCCCAGUGAAUGUGGUCCGGCGCUGUAAACGCAUUCUCCCUAAGAUUUUCUUGGUUACACCUUCUUUUCUCUGACUUUUUCUAUGGCGAAAAUACAGCGUGUAACACAGCGCGCACAA
Molecule: long non-coding RNA, 1944 nt
Organism: Mustela lutreola (European mink)
Lineage: Eukaryota; Metazoa; Chordata; Mammalia; Carnivora; Mustelidae
Exons: 3
Source: RefSeq, a predicted model, not a curated record